AGAUGACUGCUGGUAGUUUAUCUAUUAGAGGAAAGUCCAUGCUCGCACUUCCUGAGAUGGAAGUAGUGAUUACGCUAGAGGAAAAAAUAACUCUAGGCAGGAGGAAGCUCCUGACGGCGGGAGAUGACCUAAGGGCAACUAUGGUCAAAUCCCUUAACGCUCCACAGUGACGAAUUUCAGGGAAACUUGAAAGUGAAACGCGGAAAGCCCCUUAAGCGAGAAACCUAAAUUUUGGUAAGGGAAGCACGAUCCGAGAACUGAAUCGGAAAGGGCAAGGUUAGUUUCUAACCUUAGAUAAAUUGUCAUCCUCGACAUAACAUGGCUUAUAG
RNAcentral lists this RNase P RNA (329 nucleotides) under bovine gut metagenome. RNAcentral's name for it is "Bacterial RNase P class B". It matches the Rfam family "Bacterial RNase P class B". Rfam says of the family: Ribonuclease P (RNase P) is a ubiquitous endoribonuclease, found in archaea, bacteria and eukarya as well as chloroplasts and mitochondria. Its best characterised activity is the generation of mature 5'-ends of tRNAs by cleaving the 5'-leader elements of precursor-tRNAs. Cellular RNase Ps are ribonucleoproteins. RNAcentral also lists the same sequence under 1 other name. The record is from RNAcentral.